AUUGAACGCUGGCGGCAGGCCUAACACAUGCAAGUCGAGCGAGCGGCGGACGGGUGAGUAAUGUCUGGGAAACUGCCUGAUGGAGGGGGAUAACUACUGGAAACGGUAGCUAAUACCCCAUACCCUCUGAUGUGCCCCGAUGGGAUUAGCUAGUAGGUGGGGUAACGGCUCACCUAGGCGACGCUCCCUAGCUGGUCUGAGAGGAUGACCAGCCACACUGGAACUGAGACACGGUCCAGACUCCUACGGGAGGCAGCAGUGGGGAAUAUUGCACAAUGGGCGCAAGCCUGAUGCAGCCAUGCCGCGUGUGUGAAGAAGGCCUUCGGGUUGUAAAGCACUUUCAGCGGGGAGGCGUUACCCGCAGAAGAAGAACCGGCUAACUCCGUGCCAGCAGCCGCGGUAAUAC
This 406-nucleotide ribosomal RNA is filed under the name uncultured bacterium. Its description in RNAcentral is "partial 16S ribosomal RNA". It matches the Rfam family "Bacterial small subunit ribosomal RNA", at positions 30 to 526 of the family's 1533-position model. The record is from RNAcentral.